GGGGGUUGUGAUAAGGAUCUUUUGGAUUUAUGAAGCCCCUAUCUUUAAGGACCAAAAUGUAACAUGGGAACAAGUUAAGUAAAAAUGUGUGACAGGUAAUAUGGCUUGGCUGUGUGUUAGAGACUUUAAUGACAUUAGAGGGGAGCAUGAAAAGGAAUGGGGGAGGCCUAAAGAAAAAAAGAAAGAUGGAAUAUUUAAUGAAAU
This 204-nucleotide long non-coding RNA is filed under the name Gossypium raimondii (Peruvian cotton). RNAcentral describes it as "long non-coding RNA (GRAI_LNC008641)". The record is from RNAcentral. Lineage: Eukaryota; Viridiplantae; Streptophyta; Magnoliopsida; Malvales; Malvaceae.